UAUAAUGGGUCAGCGACUUAUAUUCUGUAGCAAGGUUAACCGUAUAGGGGAGCCGCAGGGAAACCGAGUCUUAACUGGGCGUUAAGUUGCAGGGUAUAGACCCGAAACCCGGUGAUCUAGCCAUGGGCAGGUUGAAGGUUGGGUAACACUAACUGGAGGACCGAACCGACUAAUGUUGAAAAAUUAGCGGAUGACUUGUGGCUGGGGGUGAAAGGCCAAUCAAACCGGGAGAUAGCUGGUUCUCCCCGAAAGCUAUUUAGGUAGCGCCUCGUGAAUUCAUCUUCGGGGGUAGAGCACUGUUUCGGCUAGGGGGUCAUCCCGACUUACCAACCCGAUGCAAACUACGAAUACCGAAGAAUGUUAUCACGGGAGACACACGGCGGGUGCUAACGUCCGUCGUGAAGAGGGAAACAACCCAGACCGCCAGCUAAGGUCCCAAAGUCACAGUUAAGUGGGAAACGAUGUGGGAAGGCACAGACAGCCAGGAUGUUGGCUUAGAAGCAGCCAUCAUUUAAAGAAAGCGUAAUAGCUCACUGGUCGAGUCGGCCUGCGCGGAAGAUGUAACGGGGCUAAACUGUGCAC
This 582-nucleotide ribosomal RNA is filed under the name Klebsiella aerogenes. Its description in RNAcentral is "partial 23S ribosomal RNA". It matches the Rfam family "Bacterial large subunit ribosomal RNA", at positions 611 to 1194 of the family's 2925-position model. The record is from RNAcentral. Lineage: Bacteria; Pseudomonadati; Pseudomonadota; Gammaproteobacteria; Enterobacterales; Enterobacteriaceae.